UGGGGAAACCCAGUGUGACUCGUCACACUAUCAUUAACUGAAUCCAUAGGUUAAUGAGGCGAACCGGGGGAACUGAAACAUCUAAGUACCCCGAGGAAAAGAAAUCAACCGAGAUUCCCCCAGUAGCGGCGAGCGAACGGGGAGGAGCCCAGAGCCUGAAUCAGCAUGUGUGUUAGUGGAAGCGUCUGGAAAGGCGCGCGAUACAGGGUGACAGCCCCGUACACAAAAGCGCAUGUGCUGUGAGCUCGAUGAGUAGGGCGGGACACGUGGUAUCCUGUCUGAAUAUGGGGGGACCAUCCUCCAAGGCUAAAUACUCCUGACUGACCGAUAGUGAACCAGUACCGUGAGGGAAAGGCGAAAAGAACCCCGGCGAGGGGAGUGAAAAAGAACCUGAAACCGUG
Molecule: ribosomal RNA, 401 nt
Filed under: Salmonella enterica
Lineage: Bacteria; Pseudomonadati; Pseudomonadota; Gammaproteobacteria; Enterobacterales; Enterobacteriaceae
Description: partial 23S ribosomal RNA
Rfam family: Bacterial large subunit ribosomal RNA
Source: RNAcentral